UAGUCCACGCCGUAAACGAUGGAUACUAGCUGUCCGGGUCCUUGAGGCCUGGGCGGCCAAGCGAAAGUGAUAAGUAUCCCACCUGGGGAGUACGUUCGCAAGAAUGAAACUCAAAGGAAUUGACGGGGGCCCGCACAAGCGGUGGAGCAUGUGGUUUAAUUCGAUGAUACGCGAGGAACCUUGCCAGGGCUUAAAUGCAUAUUGACAGGGUCAGAGAUGGCCUUUCCUUCGGGCAAUUUGCAAGGUGCUGCAUGGUUGUCGUCAGCUCGUGCCGUGAGGUGUCAGGUUAAGUCCUAUAACGAGCGCAACCCCUACCGUUAGUUGCCAGCAUGUUAUGAUGGGGACUCUAGCGGGACUGCCGGUGCAAACCGAGAGGAAGGUGGGGAUGACGUCAAAUCAUCACGGCCCUUACGUCCUGGGCUACACACGUGCUACAAUGGUAACGACAGAGGGCAGCCACCCCGCGAGGGGGAGCGAAUCCUUAAACGUUAUCUCAGUUCGGAUCGGAGUCUGCAAC
RNAcentral lists this ribosomal RNA (517 nucleotides) under uncultured bacterium. RNAcentral's name for it is "bacterial SSU rRNA". It matches the Rfam family "Bacterial small subunit ribosomal RNA", at positions 791 to 1311 of the family's 1533-position model. The record is from RNAcentral.